GUGAGGAAUAUUGCGCAAUGGAGGCAACUCUGACGCAGCCAUGCCGCGUGCAGGAAGAAGGCGCUACGCGUUGUAAACUGCUUUUAACCGGGAAGAAACCCCAGGACGUGUCCUGGGUUGACGGUACCGGAGGAAUAAGCACCGGCUAACUUCGUGCCAGCAGCCGCGGUAAUACGAAGGGUGCAGGCGUUAUCCGGAUUCAUUGGGUUUAAAGGGUGCGUAGGCGGAGCGUUAAGUCAGUGGUGAAAUCCUGCAGCUUAACUGUAGACUUGCCAUUGAUACUGGCGCUCUUGAGUGCGCUUGAAGUGGGCGGAAUGUGCCGUGUAGCGGUGAAAUGCUUAGAUAUGGCACAGAACACCAAUUGCGAAGGCAGCUCACUAAGGCGAUACUGACGCUGAGGCACGAAAGCGUGGGGAUCGAACAGGAUUAGAAACCCCAGUAGUCC
This 445-nucleotide ribosomal RNA is filed under the name uncultured bacterium. RNAcentral describes it as "partial 16S ribosomal RNA". It matches the Rfam family "Bacterial small subunit ribosomal RNA", at positions 354 to 796 of the family's 1533-position model. The record is from RNAcentral.